CCCUUGUAAGAUGAUGAAAUGAUCUCGUAUAUGUUACAAGAUCUUGGGUCUAAAUUUGACCCCCUGGUGACAAGUAUCACCACUCGCGCUGACUCAAUGAUAGUGAGCGAUGUCUAUGCUCAUAUUCUCGACUUUGAAC
Molecule: small nucleolar RNA, 139 nt
Organism: Phragmites australis (common reed)
Lineage: Eukaryota; Viridiplantae; Streptophyta; Magnoliopsida; Poales; Poaceae
Product: small nucleolar RNA Z247
Exons: 1
Source: RefSeq, a predicted model, not a curated record